RNAcentral lists this ribosomal RNA (1469 nucleotides) under metagenome. Its description in RNAcentral is "bacterial LSU rRNA". It matches the Rfam family "Bacterial large subunit ribosomal RNA", at positions 1432 to 2925 of the family's 2925-position model. The record is from RNAcentral.
GAUAUUCCUGUACUGCAGUAUGACAGAACUGUGGGGACACGUAAGGAGAGCGGGAGCCGGGAAUGGAAAGCCCGGUACAAGCGAGGUACCAGUCACAUAGGAAAAUCCGUGUGGCAAUGGGAAGACGUGAUGUGGAGUGAAUUUUAGUAACGAAGCCCGUGAGCCAUGCGUCAAGAAAAGCCGCUGUCGUUCAUAUUGUACCCGUACCGUAAACCGACACAGGUGGAUGAGGAGAGAAUCCUAAGGCCGGCGGAAGAAGUAUUGCCAAGGAACUCGGCAAAAUGGCCCCGUAACUUAGGGAGAAGGGGUGCCUGCGAGAGCAGGCCGCAGAGAAUAGGCUCAAGCAACUGUUUAGCAAAAACACAGGUCUAUGCGAAACCGAAAGGUGAGGUAUAUGGGCUGACGCCUGCCCGGUGCUGGAAGGUUAAGAGGAGAGGUUAGACGUAAGUCGAAGCUUUGAAUUUAAGCCCCAGUAAACGGCGGCCGUAACAAUAACGGUCCUAAGGUAGCGAAAUUCCUUGACGGGUAAGUUCCGACCCGCACGAAAGGCGUAAUGAUUUGAGCGCUGUCUCGGCAAUACAUCCGGUGAAAUUGAAGUGCCAGUGAAGAUGCUGGCUACCCGCGCCAGGACGGAAAGACCCCAUGGAGCUUUACUCCAGUUUGGCACUGGGGUCCGGUGUUGCAUGUACAGGAUAGGUGGGGGGCUGAGAAACGGUAACGUCAGUUGCCGCGGAGCCGCUGUUGGGAUACCACCCUUGUGAUAUUGGGCUUCUAACCAGCCGCCGUAAUCCGGCGGUGGGACAAUGCCAGGCGGGGAGUUUGACUGGGGCGGUCGCCUCCGAAAGGGUAUCGGAGGCGCCCAAAGGUUCCCUCAGAAUGGACGGAAACCAUUCGAAGAGUGCAAAGGCAAAGGGAGCUUGACUGCGACACCGACGGGUGGAGCGGGUACGAAAGUAGGGCUUAGUGAUCCGGUGGUAUUAAGUGGGAAUGCCAUCGCUCAACGGACAAAAGCUACCCUGGGAUAACAGGCUUAUCACUCCCAAGAGUUCACAUCGACGGAGUGGUUUGGCACCUCGAUGUCGGCUCAUCGCAUCCUGGGGCUGUAGUAGGUCCCAAGGGUUGGGCUGUUCGCCCAUUAAAGCGGUACGCGAGCUGGGUUCAGAACGUCGUGAGACAGUUCGGUCCCUAUCCGGCGUGGGCGUAGGAUAUCUGAGAGGAGCUGUCCUUAGUACGAGAGGACCGGGAUGGACGGACCGCUGGUGGACCGGUUGGCUUGCCAAAGCCAUGGCCGGGUAGCCAAGUCCGGAAGGGAUAAACGCUGAAGGCAUCUAAGCGUGAAGCCCCCCUCAAGAUGAGAUAUCCCAUUCUUAUGAAGUAAACCCCCUUGAAGACGACGAGGUAGAUAGGGCAGAGGUGGAAGUGUGGUAACACAUGGAGCUGACUGUUACUAAUCGGGUGAGGGCUUGACC